UACGUAGGGGGCAAGCGUUGUCCGGAUUUAUUGGGCGUAAAGAGCGUGUAGGCGGUUUGGUAGGUCCGCUGUGAAAACUCGAGGCUCAACCUCGAGACGCCGGUGGAAACCAUCAGGCUAGAGUCCGGAAGAGGAGAGUGGAAUUCCUGGUGUAGCGGUGAAAUGCGCAGAUAUCGGGAAGAACACCCGUGGCUAAGGCGGCUCACUGGCCCGUUACCGACGCUCAGGCGCGACAGCGUGGGGAGCAAACAGG
Molecule: ribosomal RNA, 253 nt
Filed under: uncultured bacterium
Lineage: Bacteria
Description: partial 16S ribosomal RNA
Rfam family: Bacterial small subunit ribosomal RNA
Source: RNAcentral